GAUGAAGAACGCAGCGAAAUGCGAUAAGAAAUGUGAAUUGCAGAAUUCAGUGAAUCAUCGAAUCUUUGAACGCACAUUGCGCCCGCCAGUAUUCUGGCGGGCAUGCCUGUUCGAGCGUCAUUACAACCCUCAGGCCCCCGGGCCUGGCGUUGGGGAUCGGCGGAAGCCCCCUGCGGGCACAACGCCGUCCCCCAAAUACAGUGGCGGUCCCGCCGCAGCUUCCAUUGCGUAGUAGCUAACACCUCGCAACUGGAGAGCGGCGCGGCCACGCCGUAAAACACCCAACUUCUGAAUGUUGACCUCGAAUCAGGUAGGAAUACCCGCUGAACUUAAGCAUAUCAAUAAGCGGAGG
RNAcentral lists this unclassified non-coding RNA (352 nucleotides) under soil metagenome. Its description in RNAcentral is "partial contains 5.8S ribosomal RNA, internal transcribed spacer 2, and large subunit ribosomal RNA". The stretch from base 1 to 120 matches the Rfam family "5.8S ribosomal RNA", at positions 35 to 154 of the family's 154-position model. The record is from RNAcentral.